RNAcentral lists this ribosomal RNA (404 nucleotides) under uncultured bacterium. Its description in RNAcentral is "partial 16S ribosomal RNA". It matches the Rfam family "Bacterial small subunit ribosomal RNA", at positions 30 to 526 of the family's 1533-position model. The record is from RNAcentral.
AUUGAACGCUGGCGGCAUGCCUAACACAUGCAAGUCGAGCGAGCGGCUGGCGUGUGAGUAAUGCCUGGGAAUUGCCCAGUCGAGGGGUAUAACCGUUGGAAACGCCUGCUAAUACCACAUACUAUUGGCUUUCCCAUGUGGGAUUAGCUAGUUGGUGAUGUAAUGGCUCACCAAGGCGACGAUCCCUAGCUGGUCUGAGAGGAUGAUCAGCCACACUGGAACUGAGACACGGCCCAGACUCCUACGGGAGGCAGCAGUGGGGAAUAUUGCACAAUGGGGGAAACCCUGAUGCAGCCAUGCCGCGUGUGUGAAGAAGGCCUUCGGGUUGUAAAGCACUUUCAGCGAGGAGGCGGUACUCGCAGAAGAAGCACCGGCUAACUACGUGCCAGCAGCCGCGGUAAUAC